AUAUUUUUUAGUUACACACCGAUCGCAGGUGUACAAACAGCUAAUUAUAUAUAAUUGGGAUGUCUCUCAUUUUUUACCACAAUUUUUCUUUCUUUGACUCCCCUAUAUUAAUCCUACACAAUAGGAUUCAUGUUUUCUUGGGUCGGCAGUUGAUGUUCUUACGUCCGCUCCCCAACAGAUUGAUUGCACAUUUUCACCCAAAUGUAGUGCAAGAAUAUGUGAUUUUGAGAAAAUUCUCUCCAUGUCUUUUACAAAUCAAAAUUGCUAGGUGCACACUAUUAAAACAUAAAAAAUGUAGUGUGACAGAUUUAUUUUAAAUGUGUCCACACCGCACGCCACAAAAUACAAUUUUUGGAUUUUAAUAUCCAGCAUAACAAAACACAGCCCCCCAUUAAAGCUGCUAGAAAAAAUUAUGGAAGAAGAGAGAAUGCUCAACACAAGUUCUUUAUGAUCCUUCCUUUCUUCCUUCUCACCACAACACAGCUCUCAAACCCACACCAUCAUCAAACACCCACUUACCACCCAUUCAUCAGAAUCACAACAAAAGACUCAUUUCACCGCGCUCGUUCUGGGUCACUACAUUACACCACAUUAUCAUGCAACUCCUCUACCAUCUCUCUCUUGAGUUCUGCUGAAUUCACCAAUUAAUGGCUGGCUUUCCCAGAUUGGUAUCAGUCUGAAGGAAACAUACAAGGAUUAGCCAAUGCCUCGUGCAACCACGACACUGAUUAAUUCAGUAUUUCAAGUAUGCCCAAGAGGAUUUCAUGUAGACCAAAUAGCUCCAUGUUCCCAUCUUGUUUCACAGUGCAAGUUGUGGCUAUAAUGAAGACAGUGGGGAGAGAGAGAGAGUGUGCGCGCUAACAUUGAUUUUGGGGGUGUUAGGUCCUGGUAUUGUUUUUUGAGGAGAUGAAGAUGUAGCUCGUAGGUAGAAAAUUGGAAAUUACAAGUUUAUUUGUAAACUAGGUUUCUUGUUUUUGUAUGGACUACUAACAAACACGGCUCAACACCAAAAACCCAAAAAUUAAAAUUAAAAGAUUAAAAAAAUACUCCUAGUAGUAUCUAACAAUGUUUCGUUUUUAAUUCAUCACCACAUAAACUCUCGUUCCAUAUUUUACCUUCAUAUCUUAGGUUGUCAUUUCAAGUUUCUAUCCGUACAUGAUUUAUAUGUUUUUCCCAAUUGCAACAGCUAUUGACUAGCAGAAACUGUUUCCUGGACCACUUCUAAUAAAAACGACUGAAACAAAAAACACGAGAUGGCAAACCUUGAGAUGCAAAAAAGACAACCAAAAAAAAAAAAAAAGGAAGACAAAGAAGAAUCCAAGUCCAAAUACACCAUUACGGCCAUUAAAACAGCUUUUAUAAAUUAUGACUUACACGCAACAUUUUACUCAAAAAUUGGAUGAGUGUUUCCUCUUGAAUUGCGCAAUAAAAAAAACAAUCAAGAGGAAAAGAAGCAUAUACCAGAACCCACAAGGAAUAAAGAAAUAAA
Camellia sinensis is the source of this 1489-nucleotide non-coding RNA. Lineage: Eukaryota; Viridiplantae; Streptophyta; Magnoliopsida; Ericales; Theaceae. The record is from RefSeq and is a predicted model, not a curated record.